RNAcentral lists this long non-coding RNA (203 nucleotides) under Mytilus galloprovincialis (Mediterranean mussel). The record is from RNAcentral. Lineage: Eukaryota; Metazoa; Mollusca; Bivalvia; Mytilida; Mytilidae.
CUUCAUUAUUAUUGUUAACGAUUAGUCUGCAAAACAAAAAAACAAAGACUGAGAACUAGAAUGAUCUCGUGUGCUCCAGAAGGGUCAGCAAGUUCUACUCUGCUAAAGCUUGUUGGUGAAUUGCAUUUGGUGUGGUCAAAACCGUGAAAAGUAAGAUUAUAAAAAUACCAAACUUCAAGGAAAAAAUCAAAAUCUCAAACCCA